AUCACCUGGGGAUCUUGCUGAAAUGCAGAUUCUAAUCCAGUGAGUUUGAGGUGGGACCAGAGAUUGUGCCUUUUUGGCAGGCUCUCAGGUGAUGCCAG
Molecule: microRNA precursor, 98 nt
Filed under: Camelus bactrianus (Bactrian camel)
Lineage: Eukaryota; Metazoa; Chordata; Mammalia; Artiodactyla; Camelidae
Also listed under: 2 other names
Description: mir-544 microRNA precursor family
Rfam family: mir-544 microRNA precursor family
Source: Rfam by way of RNAcentral